UAGGGGAAUCUUCCACAAUGGGCGGCAAGCCUGAUGGAGCAACACCGCGUGAGUGAAGAAAGGGUUUCGGCUCGUAAAGCUCUGUUGUUGGAGAAGAACGUGCGUGAGAGUAACUGUUCACGCAGUGACGGUAUCCAACCAGAAAGUCACGGCUAACUACGUGCC
RNAcentral lists this ribosomal RNA (165 nucleotides) under uncultured bacterium. RNAcentral describes it as "partial 16S ribosomal RNA". It matches the Rfam family "Bacterial small subunit ribosomal RNA", at positions 354 to 509 of the family's 1533-position model. The record is from RNAcentral.